GCUCUAGUAGCUCAAUCGGUCUAGAGCGCCGUGCUUAUACAGAAGUACUUUGUAUACAAAAGUCUAUUCUAAAAAUAGAAAAGUCACGCGGAGGUUGCGGGUUCGAGCCCCGCCUAGAGCA
Molecule: non-coding RNA, 121 nt
Organism: Blastocladiella britannica
Lineage: Eukaryota; Fungi; Blastocladiomycota; Blastocladiomycetes; Blastocladiales; Blastocladiaceae
Source: the annotation of a GenBank genome assembly